Molecule: ribosomal RNA, 358 nt
Filed under: Hygrobia hermanni
Lineage: Eukaryota; Metazoa; Arthropoda; Insecta; Coleoptera; Hygrobiidae
Description: partial 12S ribosomal RNA
Source: RNAcentral
AUUAUUUUAAAUGUAAAAUUAUAUGCUAAAGUAGUAUUAGUUAAGUUCUUGAAAUUUAAAAAUUUUGGCGGUAUUUUAGUCUAUUCAGAGGAACCUGUUCUAUAAUUGAUAAUCCACGAUUUACUUUACUUAAUUUAAUUAAUUUGUAUAUCAUCGUUAUUAGAUAAUUUUAUAAGAAUAUAAAUUUUUAAGAUUUUAAAUAAAUAAAUAAAUCAGAUCAAGAUGCAGUUUAUAGUUAAGAAGAAAUGGGUUACAAUAAAUUUAUUUAUAUGGAUUAUUAGAUGAAAUUUUAAUAUGAAGGUGGAUUUGAAAGUAAUUAAAUUUAUUUUAAUUUAAUGAUUUAAGCUCUAAAAUAUGU